UACGUAGGGUGCAAGCGUUGUCCGGAAUUAUUGGGCGUAAAGGGUGCGUAGGCGGUUCCGCAAGUCCUGUGUGAAAUCUUCGGGCUCAACUCGAAGUCUGCACGGGAAACUGCGGGGCUUGAGUGUGGGAGAGGUGAGUGGAAUUCCCGGUGUAGCGGCGAAAUGCGUAGAUAUCGGGAGGAACACCUGUGGCGAAAGCGGCUCACUGGACCAUAACUGACGCUGAUGCACGAAAGCUGGGGGAGCAAACAGG
This 253-nucleotide ribosomal RNA is filed under the name uncultured bacterium. Its description in RNAcentral is "partial 16S ribosomal RNA". It matches the Rfam family "Bacterial small subunit ribosomal RNA", at positions 524 to 776 of the family's 1533-position model. The record is from RNAcentral.